GGAGGCUGUCGGCGGACGGGCCCCUCGCCAAUCCGGUCAGGUCCGAAAGGAAGCAGCCGUAACGAGUUACGGCCCGGGUCGCCGGUCCAGUCUCCCGC
This 98-nucleotide signal recognition particle RNA is filed under the name Rhodospirillales bacterium. RNAcentral describes it as "signal recognition particle sRNA small type". It matches the Rfam family "Bacterial small signal recognition particle RNA". From Rfam's summary of the family: The signal recognition particle (SRP) is a universally conserved ribonucleoprotein involved in the co-translational targeting of proteins to membranes. Archaeal SRP consists of a 7S RNA and homologues of the eukaryotic SRP19 and SRP54 proteins. In most bacteria, the SRP consists of a 4.5S RNA and the Ffh protein (a homologue of the eukaryotic SRP54 protein). The record is from RNAcentral. Lineage: Bacteria; Pseudomonadati; Pseudomonadota; Alphaproteobacteria; Rhodospirillales.